Molecule: ribosomal RNA, 694 nt
Filed under: uncultured bacterium
Lineage: Bacteria
Description: bacterial SSU rRNA
Rfam family: Bacterial small subunit ribosomal RNA
Source: RNAcentral
AACGCUAGCUACAGGCUUAACACAUGCAAGUCGAGGGGCAGCGGGAUUGAAGCUUGCUUCAAUUGCCGGCGACCGGCGCACGGGUGAGUAACGUGUAUCCAACCUUCCGUACACUCAGGGAUAGCCUUUCGAAAGAAAGAUUAAUACCUGAUGGUAUGAUGAGAUUGCAUGAUAGCAUCAUUAAAGAUUUAUCGGUGUACGAUGGGGAUGCGUUCCAUUAGGUAGUAGGCGGGGUAACGGCCCACCUAGCCAACGAUGGAUAGGGGUUCUGAGAGGAAGGUCCCCCACAUUGGUACUGAGACACGGACCAAACUCCUACGGGAGGCAGCAGUGAGGAAUAUUGGUCAAUGGCCGAGAGGCUGAACCAGCCAAGUCGCGUGAAGGAAGAAGGAUCUAUGGUUUGUAAACUUCUUUUAUACGGGAAUAAAGUGAGUCACGUGUGAUUUUUUGUAUGUACCGUAUGAAUAAGCAUCGGCUAACUCCGUGCCAGCAGCCGCGGUAAUACGGAGGAUGCGAGCGUUAUCCGGAUUUAUUGGGUUUAAAGGGUGCGUAGGUGGUCUUUUAAGUCAGCGGUGAAAGUUUGUGGCUCAACCAUAAAAUUGCAGUUGAUACUGGGUGUCUUGAGUACAGUAGAGGCAGGCGGAAUUCGUGGUGUAGCGGUGAAAUGCUUAGAUAUCACGAAGAACUCCGAUUG